Long non-coding RNA from Gadus morhua (Atlantic cod), 1592 nucleotides. RefSeq lists it as uncharacterized. The transcript has 2 exons. The record is from RefSeq and is a predicted model, not a curated record. Lineage: Eukaryota; Metazoa; Chordata; Actinopteri; Gadiformes; Gadidae.
AAGAUUGCGCAUUGGUCCAGGAAAAACUAAAUGGAUGCAUGUUUUGAAGAGAGAUUAUAUGAAGAGAUCCCCUGUUACCCACAUUUAUAUAAUUCAUCAAGCAAUAUUCAUUAGUGAACUCCUGGCGAGAACGCUUUGGAGAGAGGAAAAAUGCAAUUUUCUUUCCUAAUGCGCAUGCAGCCUCUCCUCGGUUACUGGCAUUUGACAACCAACGCCACGUUGCACUACCCUAACUAACUGGCAUGGAGUUAGGGUCGGGAAACGCACAUGGGUUGGACGCUAGACCAACACAGACCCUACAUUUUAGUAUGAAUGGGACCUCCCCCCCACUAGCUGCUGUGGAAUCACUGUGAACCAUGGCCUCUCAUGGCUUAUUGCUUAAAUAUAUACAGCAUGUAUAUUUCAACCAUCUAAUUGCUGGCCCAGUUUGUUCAUAUCAUUCACUUAAUUUAUGAUGAAACUGCUUGGCCGCAUUGGAUAAGGCACUUGCUGCCGUGUUAAGUGACGUUUAAUUCAUUAGCAAAAGAAAUGCCUUUCCCUUUGGGACCUAUUAGAUCCUGCUGAGGUGCUAAAGCCUGCCAUGAGAGUAACGGCAAAUAGCAUUGGCUAUUGCAUCACAUCUCUACUUGUUAACCAUGAGAACUGUGAACAAGUUGAUGGAAAAUAAAAUGAUGACCCUAAUGUUGAUAUUAACGUUGAAUCAUUGUUUUGUAGGGUUUUCAGGGUUUUGGAUUUGGAGAUGGAGGAUUUCAGAUGUCGUUUGGGAUCGGUGCCUUCCCGUUUGGUAUUUUCGCCACUGCUUUUAACAUUAACGACGGCAGACCACCACCAGCAGCCCCAGGGACACCACAACACACGGAUGAGCAGUUUCUGUCGAGACUUUUCCUCUUUGUAGCUCUGGUGAUUAUGUUUUGGCUGCUCAUUGCCUAAUGGACUGCAUACCAAAUACACAUCAUUGUGUUGGACAAACAGAAAAAGCAAGAUCCACUGGAAGGAAAAAACAUACCAUGCAUUGUGUGGAUUUCAAUUUAUGAAUGGGGUCACCGUAUUGAAUACUUUCCUGUGAAAAGGGUGCAAUAUGUUGCUUGUCUAACCACUACCUGAAACUGUAGAUUAUUUGGCUGCUCAUUGUUUAGAAUUUAGUUGAGUUUUCUCAACGAGCAUCAAUCCAGAUUGAUUUUGACUUUUGCAUUUCAAUGAACUGUGGAAUCAAUUUCUCAACGAAUGUGAGGUAAUAAAACGAAACAGGACAGAUAAGAGGAAGCCAAUUCUGCAAAUGAAUUUUAUUGUAAAACAAACAUUUUUAACCCUAACCAAACAAUUUGCACUAAAGAGUUUUCUGUUGAGUCUUAUAAAUUGAUACAGAAGAACCUCAACUUAAUAUAGACUCAACAUAAUCACAAACAACCUUUAACUGGCAAAUUGAAGGAAAUUAGUCUAUUAAUAUCUAUUGUCGGACUAAACCGCCAGACUGUAAACCAGAGGAUAUUUGUUCAUGUUUCAGGUUUUACUUGAGUAAAACACGACUGUAUAACAAUGGCUGAUAACUAGGUCAGAACAUAAAAUCGAAAUAAAAACUCCUUGGUAUAUCA